Molecule: long non-coding RNA, 421 nt
Organism: Salvia hispanica
Lineage: Eukaryota; Viridiplantae; Streptophyta; Magnoliopsida; Lamiales; Lamiaceae
Source: RefSeq, a predicted model, not a curated record
CUAUGAAAGACACAUGUAACAUCUGUAACUCUCGACUAUUAUACCCCAAAUUGAUGACAAAUUUCAAUCUACAUUGACUCUUGCAUGCUCUACUGUAAUGGAUUGCGCCUUUAAAUGAGUUCGUUGGAGUUUGUUUGUCAACGGUGCUGCGACUAUGGAGAUGUAUCCAUUAUAUCUUUGGAGAUGACUAGCCUAAAUCGAGAGAACUAUCGGGACAUUUCUCGUCUUGUGAAAAGAGGACUCAUCAACUCAACUAUAUUUUACGGAUUUAUAUUUAUAAUUUUUGUAGUAUUAUUUCCAGUUAUUUUUGUGUGAUGUACUCCUCUUCGAUUCUACUUUUUUAUUAUAUUAAGUUCGACAAGUGUUGUUAUUUUUUAGUAUUCAUUUUAUAACAGGAAACUAUAUAUUCUUACUUAAGGUU